GAUGAACGCUGGCGGCGUGCCUAAUACAUGCAAGUCGAGCGAACAGACGAGGAGCUUGCUCCUCUGACGUUAGCGGCGGACGGGUGAGUAACACGUGGAUAACCUACCUAUAAGACUGGGAUAACUUCGGGAAACCGGAGCUAAUACCGGAUAAUAUAUUGAACCGCAUGGUUCAAUAGUGAAAGACGGUUUUGCUGUCACUUAUAGAUGGAUCCGCGCCGCAUUAGCUAGGUGGUAAGGUAACGGCUUACCAAGGCAACGAUGCGUAGCCGACCUGAGAGGGGUGAUGCCCCCCACGGCAAUUGAGCACCGUCCCAGCCCCCCAGGGGGGGCACCGUUAGGGAUAUUUCCCCAUUGGCGGAAACCCUGCCGCAGCACCGCGGCGUGAGUGAUGAAGUCUUUCGGUUCUUAAACCCUUUUUUUUAGGGAAAAACAAAGGUGUAAUUAACCUUGCACGCCUUGCCGUUCCCAAUCAGAAAGCCACGGCUAACUACGUG
This 497-nucleotide ribosomal RNA is filed under the name uncultured bacterium. RNAcentral's name for it is "partial 16S ribosomal RNA". It matches the Rfam family "Bacterial small subunit ribosomal RNA", at positions 28 to 507 of the family's 1533-position model. The record is from RNAcentral.